This 120-nucleotide ribosomal RNA is filed under the name Pteropus alecto (black flying fox). The record is from RNAcentral. Lineage: Eukaryota; Metazoa; Chordata; Mammalia; Chiroptera; Pteropodidae.
GUCUCCGGCCAUGCCAACCCUGAACAUGCCCGAUACCGUCUGAUCUCAGAAGCUAAGCAGGGUCAGGCCUGGUUAGUACUUGAAUGGGAGACCACCCAGGAAGACCGGGUGCUGCAGGCG